AGAGUUUGAUCCUGGCUCAGGAUGAACGCUGGCGGCGUGCCUAACACAUGCAAGUCGAGCGGAGAUAACGUGCUUCGGCGUGUUAUUUCAGCGGCGGACGGGUGAGUAACGCGUGAAGGACCUGCCCCUUACAGAGGGAUAACAUCGAGAAAUCGGUGCUAAUACCGCAUAAGACCACGGUGCUGCAUGGCAUUGAGGUAAAAGGAGAAAUCCGGUAAGGGAUGGCUUCGCGUCCCAUUAGAUAGUAGGCGGGGUAACGGCCCACCUAGUCGGCGAUGGGUAGCCGACCUGAGAGGGUGAUCGGCCACACUGGAACUGAGACACGGUCCAGACUCCUACGGGAGGCAGCAGUGGGGAAUAUUGGGCAAUGGGCGAAAGCCUUACCCAGCAACGCCGCGUGAGAGAAGAAGGUUUUCGGAUUGUAAAUCUCUGUCCUGGGGGACGAAGAAAGUGACGGUACCCCGGGAGGAAGCCCCGGCUAACUACGUGCCAGCAGCCGCGGUAAUACGUAGGGGGCGAGCGUUGUCCGGAAUUAUUGGGCGUAAAGGGCGUGUAGGUGGCCAGAUAAGCGUAAUGUGGAAGUCCAUAUUUCAAGUAUGGAAGUGCGCUAUGAACUGUCUGGCUUGAGCGCAGGAGAGGGAAGCGGAAUUCCUGGUGUAGCGGUAAAAUGCGUAGAUAUCAGGAGGAACACCGGUGGCGAAGGCGGCUUUCUGGACUGUAACUGACACUGAGGCGCGAAAGCGUGGGGAUCAAACAGGAUUAGAUACCCUGGUAGUCCACGCUGUAAACGAUGAAUGCUAGGUGUAGGAGGUAUCGACCCCUUCUGUGCCGCAGCUAACGCAAUAAGUAUUCCACCUGGGGAGUACGUUCGCAAGAAUGAAACUCAAAGGAAUUGACGGGGACCCGCACAAGCGGUGGAGCAUGUGGUUUAAUUCGAAGCAACGCGAAGAACCUUACCUGAUCUUGACAUCCUCCUGACCAUCUGAUGUAAUGUCGGACUUCCUUCGGGACAGGAGAGACAGGUGGUGCAUGGUUGUCGUCAGCUCGUGUCGUGAGAUGUUGGGUUAAGUCCCGCAACGAGCGCAACCCUUGUCCUUAGUUGCCAGCACUUCGGGUGGGCACUCUAGGGAGACUGCCAGGGAUAACCUGGAGGAAGGUGGGGACGACGUCAAAUCAUCAUGCCCCUUAUGACCAGGGCUACACACGUGCUACAAUGGCGUAAACAAAGAGAAGCGAGCCUGUGAAGGGGAGCCAACCUCAAAAAUAACGUCUCAGUUCGGACUGCAGUCUGCAACUCGACUGCACGAAGCUGGAAUCGCUAGUAAUCGCGAAUCAGAAUGUCGCGGUGAAUACGUUCCCGGGUCUUGUACACACCGCCCGUCACACCAUGGGAGUCGGAAAUGCCCGAAGCCUGUGACCCAACUUUUCGAAGAGGGAGCAGUCGAAGGUGGAGCCGAUGACUGGGGUGAAGUCGUAACAAGGUA
This 1484-nucleotide ribosomal RNA is filed under the name uncultured bacterium. Its description in RNAcentral is "16S ribosomal RNA". It matches the Rfam family "Bacterial small subunit ribosomal RNA". The record is from RNAcentral.